UAUGCGAUUAACUGGUGUGAAUUGCAGAAUCCCGUGAACCAUCGAGUCUUUGAACGCAAGUUGCGCCCGAAGCCACUAGGCUGAGGGCACGUCUGCCUGGGUGUCA
This is a ribosomal RNA of 106 nucleotides. It matches the Rfam family "5.8S ribosomal RNA", at positions 52 to 154 of the family's 154-position model. Rfam says of the family: 5.8S ribosomal RNA (5.8S rRNA) is a component of the large subunit of the eukaryotic ribosome. It is transcribed by RNA polymerase I as part of the 45S precursor that also contains 18S and 28S rRNA. Functionally, it is thought that 5.8S rRNA may be involved in ribosome translocation.